RNAcentral lists this long non-coding RNA (33347 nucleotides) under Musa acuminata (dwarf banana). RNAcentral's name for it is "long non-coding RNA (MACU_LNC000783)". Lineage: Eukaryota; Viridiplantae; Streptophyta; Magnoliopsida; Zingiberales; Musaceae. The record is from RNAcentral.
UAUCAGUAGGUAUGUAUGCCGGAACAUGGGUCAUGUAUAAGGCUAUUCCUGAAACCUAUGCUGAUGCAUCUACUCGCAAUGCUCGUCUUCUUCAUUUUUCCCCUAUCUUUAGCUCAUUUUGGCCAAAUGGCAUGGGAUUUGCUAAAGCAGGGUGGACCUUUACCUUUUGAUCAGAAAACAUAUAAAGAAGCUGAUUCCUGACAGCGAGCACCAGGAAUAACAGCCCAAAUCUGCGCUAGGAAAACCUGGAAACGAUGCUCUUGUUAAAUCGAGCCACAACAUACGGUCUCAUUGCAAAAAGCAUGAGCAGUCUUGGAUUACUUUAUUCUCCACUGCCGUGAAGAGAUUGCCCUCGAGAACAGUGUUGCUCACAUCUCGUUGUUAGAGUACUUUAAUCAUUCUUAAAUUUGAAGAUAACAUCGGUUCUGUAGGAUCAGAGUGCACUCUACUCUUUUUUUUCCGUGGUUUUCAGCUUGUAAGAACUUCCCAGCCCGCUUUGUUAGGUGGGUCAUGCUUGCUGGAAUCCUUGUUCUUCAAUUGUUAGUUUUGUCUUUCUUUUUUUGGUUUUUUGUCCAAGUUUUGAUGUGCAUAUGUUUGGAUGCUGUGUUGUUGGUACUAAAAAAUUAAGGGGUGACAGUCAUAUGAUUCGAAUUAGGAGAGAGUGAGCUGAAGUAGAGAACCAAGGAUGCAUAGUUUCUCUCCUCCAAGAAACUUUAGAUUGAAAGCUGUAAAAGUCUUGGGAAAUAAUAUGGAUAACUUUGAUCAGAUGAAAAAGGCAGCCACUGGAAAAAAUCGCCACUGGAAAAAAUCUAUUUCCUUUGCAUCUGAAACUUUAGAUUGAAAGGAGCAUAAGAAUCUUGGGAAACGAACAAUUCCUUCAAACAGAUGAAAAAUGCUGCUAGAUCAGCUGGAUCCAGUUGCAACUGAGAUCGGAUCUCAGAUAAAGUUCUUCAAUAAAAUGAGGCAAAUACGCUGACAAGCAUUUGAGCGAUUAACGAUGUGUUGUCACAAUUCACCUCUUAGGGCUCCUUGGGUACUGAGUCCCAAGAUUCCAGUAUGUUCCGCAACCCCAACCUGUACAUUGGGUACAGAAGACUGACACCGAGUUCCUUCUUUAGUCGAGCAUUCGACACACGCUUCUCACAUCCUGAAAGACUCUUAUGGGGUUUCAUAUCAUUGUUAUCCAACUUGCACACUGUUCCUGCCCAUCUUUCCUCAAGUAGACUCUGAGCAAAAGCAAAUACUUCUUGUCGCGGUGCUGGAUCAUCAUCUACGACAUUAUAUAUUCUCCUGAAGCAAAUAUUGAUGUUGCUAUUAGACACUGCACAACAUGUUCAAAUCAAGCAACGUGAGCAUAUCUCAUCCAAAAUCAAGUGAAAAGUUUAUCCAAUAAAAAAAGGUACAUGAAGGACAUUUUGAUUAAUUCUUCCCGAACGAAAUCCAGAUAUGUAAAAAACUAAAGUAGUAUUUGAUGUGCCACAUGAAUAGAAUGUGCUGAAUCAAGCUAUAGAUGCAUUUUAAUACAUGUUCUUAGUCUUUAAAAAGUUUGCUAUAUAGCAAAUAAAGAAUGAAGACAAGAACAUAAUCAAAAUGCUUCACCUAUGUCCGUGGCUUAAAUAGCCGUCCAAGUAGUUGGAUUACUAGUUUUCCCACAGACAAGGGCUUGAUCUCCAAGUAAAUCAUAUUGCAUGCAUGUAUUACAUGCCUAAGUGGGGGACAAAUGUUACAUUCUUAGAGUCUAAGAGGCACAUGAAAACACCGCUUGGAUGUCAUGAUGCCACAUAAAUAGCAUAUUCCAAGAUGAAGGACUAAGUUAUCUGGGCUCUCAACUGUAAAUUCUUUUUCCUAUUUUAUAACCUCUCCAUGCUUCAAUUCCUGGUCAGUCUGUUUAUAAUAGGUUAUUCCCUAGAUAAGGCAAUCAAAUUCACAAGAGAAAGAAAGGGGGGUAAAUAAAAGAACUGUGAAAAAUCAAUGGAAGUUACUUCUGUAUCAGUCCCUCCCCAUAACAAUGAAUGCCAUAAUCAACGAUGAGAUUGGAAACUGACAAGAUAAAGUAAUAGUUUUAUGAAUUAUUUGCAUAGAUAGAAAAAGAAAAACAAAAUCCAGGCUGUUCACAUAGAAGCACCAAAAUAUCCAAAGACAUGCUCCAAUAUAAUUGAAAGAGGAAAAAAAAAAAGUUUAUCAAGUUGAAAAGUGGUACACACCCUGAAGAGAGAAUUUCUAUACUGGCCUUUAUUGCUUGGUAUAUGUCAGCAACAUGAACUCUUGCUGUAAAGAGCCUAGAUUCCCUCUUCUUCUGUCCUUCUGACAAACUUUGUCCUUUAAUGAUGGUGUCCAAAGCACUGGAAUAAUCAUGAUUAGUGAUAAUAUCAUGGAACUAGAGUCCAAAAAUAAAUAAAUAAUUAUACAAAAAAGAGAAUAUCUGACUAUGCUAGGCAUCCUGCAAGGAAACCACAUCUCGGAAUAAUUAACAUAAAACGACCCAUGAAUACUUCAACCUGAGAGUCAAAUUUCAAGUUCACCUAAAAGCCCUUGAAGUCUCUCACCUAUGCUGAUAGAUGUAACAAGUGCAGAAUUACACAAACUGAACGCAAACCUUCUUCCAGGGCCAUAUAUCCCUCCUAAUCGAAACACAUUAACAGUCACCCCAAGCUCAUGGCCCAGAUCCAGCCAUCCUUUCUCUGCUGCAAGCCUUGACUUAGCAGACUCUGUUUCAGGAUCUGGAGGGUAGCUGCAUUCAAAAAUAACUUAUUUAAGAUAGUCUUUUGAACCUAAUUUUCUAAAAGCAAGCAAAAACAUCAAUAAAAAAUAGCUGCUCACUCUUCGUCAACCCAGGCACCUCCACAAUCUCCAUAAACACCUGCAACAACACACGAAUUAACUACAUACUGACAAAAGCUUGCUUGAUGAUAGCAUAGCGAAUUUUCAUCCAUAUAAACAGAGAAAGGGCAAGUUACAUUAAGUUCCAAAGGACGAUCCCAUGGAGAUGAAUGAUGUUGAUGACCCUACGUUGAAAUAUACUUGAUUGACAUCAUUUAACCUGUUUACAUACUGAAUUGUACCCUAGAUUUUCAUUAAGUCCUUAUUGAACACUCAUGAUUAUAUGUUUGGAACAGUCGGAUGCAUCAUUUUGUCCAGCUCCUCUGCAGGAUUUUAUGUUCAAGAAGACAGAUCAUUUCAAAGCAUAAAAACCAGCUAGACAAAGUUUCCUUGUUAACUACCUGGGACUUGUUCUUAGCAAUAGACUGGUGCUAACCAGUGUCAUAUAUAUCACCAUAUAAUAUAGUGAUGUUUUACUUCAGGAUGAAAUGAAAUAAAAGGCCAAUAAGAAAUUUCAUGCAAAAUGCAGUCUUGAAGAUUUGGACUGAAAGAACGAGUGAUCUGUGAUUCUGCACGUAACAAUAAGUAGACAAGUCUGGUGGUUAAAAAAAAAGCAAGAAAUAUUAUCUUGCAUCAAGGGUCCAUCAGAACUGUCAUUUCCUGUAAAACUUGGAAGAAUCUUUAAGAAUUAUCUGUUUCCUGACAUCAUAAAGGAUGCCAAAUGGUUGGAAGGUGCUGGCUGCUGCUGCUUAGAACUAAAUAUGGGCACAUGUAAAACACCUAUACUUUCAGCAAUUUAUCCUGACAUGCUGAGACCUGAAAAGCAUCUUAUCGAAAGACAUUUAGUAUUGCAUCAAGUAACUUAUUUACCAUCAUAUGCUAUGAAAGGUAAUAAAUCAGCACAUGAUAAUUCCCCACUGCAUGUUUCAAGAAGGAUCAGAGACAGCAACCCCUUGACCCUGUAGUUCAGAGCCAUGCCAUUCAAGUCAUAGUCACUACUUGCGCUCAUAUUUGACCAAUCAAAGCAACUCAAAUUAUUAAUUUUUUUUUACUACGUUUCUCUAAGUAGAUUUUUUUUUUAAGGAUAUUUUUUUUCCCAAAAGAAAUAUAUUUUAAAAAAUUCUUUAUUUUUCCAAAAGAUAAAAAAAGUUUGUUAAAUUCACUGAACUAGCCCUUUCAAGCUUAUAUGUGUACCCCGAUCUUCUACAAAGUAAGUGGUCUGAUACCAACUAAACAAUCGGGAUAAGCUUUUUUGCUUUUUGUUUUCUUUUUCUUUUUAAUUUGAUCAGCAAAAUUCUACGAUCAAUCCCUAGUCCUUACUGCAAUGCGGAUUAGCAAGACAAAUAAAUACUUUGUUUCCCAUAUGUGAUGCAUAUAUCAUCCUCUCUAAUAACAUAUUCAAAUUAUAUUUGACACCCACCAAAUAUUUUGAAGAUAAUUACCUUAGGUUGCUUAAACAGCACAAACUGGACAGACUCUUCUGAAUUCUAUUAUAUAUAAGGUAUCCGGUGUAUAGAGGCGAUAAGGAAGGUCCGAAAGCCUUCUCGUGCUGACAGCAUUCCACUAUCAAACUAGAGUUGUGCAUAUAUGGCAGAUACUUGCUUAACCAAUGUAUUCCAGCCAUGGCAUAGAAAUCUACAGUAUAUUUAUGAUCUUUCUUUCAUGUGGUAGAAUUAAACCAUGAUAGAAAAAAAAAAAGUCACUUAACAACAAUCAUAAAUCAUACUGAAUAUGAAAAAGAGCUUUAAAAAUAUCAAAUCCAAAAAAAGAACAUUAAGUUAUAAAUAAAAAAACAUACUUGUUGACGACAAGUACCCUAGCCACUGCAAAUUUCCAUCUCCUAUUGCAGCUUGCAAUUCCCCGUGAAGACACAACAACUGCAUUUAAAAUUAUAGACAUAUAUGCCUAGCUGGUAACCACUGAAAUGUUAAAAUUAGAAAACAACAUAGUCGGCGGUGGGUACCAAAAAACAGAUAUCAACAAGAUGAUGAUCAACUUACAGGAUCACCAAUGCCUACAAUAGGAGGAAUAGAGACCAGGAGAUGGGUUGCACGUUGCAAGGUGUGGAGACUUCUCAGCCUAUAUUGUCAGAUACAGAGCAAAUGGACGUCAAGAACGUGGAAAAAAUAAACAAGCUAGAUAUUUCUGCAGCAAUUUUAAAGUGAAAAGGAUAUCAUCUGAUCUUAGCAAUCAUGGUAACGUGGUUAACAAAGAACAUGCAACAUACAACAAUCUAUUGAAUGUGAAUCCAUAAACACACAUAUAUAAUCGGUCAGCCUGCUAAUUCAAAUAGACUAUCUACACAUAUAUAAUUGGUCGGCCUGCUAAUUCAAGUAGACUAUAUUUGCAUAAAUUGCAUUGUCAUUCUAUUUGAGGGAAAGAAAUCUUUUCCCAAAGCUUAACUGCUCUGUUUGAAAUAACCAGAACCUAACAAUCAACAAAUUCACUCAAAUUGAAAAUUAAAAAUAAGAUAAAUAAAAUGAGAACCAAGCAAAAUAGAAAAAUAGAGAAAAAGAAUGGACGGGGGUUAUAAGUGUUAGAAAGAAUAGAAGACAAGAAGAAUUAUUGAAGAAGCUUUAUUGAAAAAGCUUGAAUGCAUUAACAUGUUCCUCUCCUAUUUAUACAGAUUAUGUGGAAAGAUUUCCCUCAACAGAAUAGAGGAUUUCUCUCAACGGAACAGAGAGAUUUCCUCGUAUAGUUAGGUAGAAACUUGGUCGGUGCAGGCAACGCCGGUGAAGAAGAAGGCCGUAUGGAGGAGAAGAGGGAAGGAGCGGACAGGGGUUAGAGAGGCAAGAGAUGUGAUGAAUGGCAAGCUUCGAUAGCCGUGGAGCCUCGCUCAUCUCACCUGCUCUGAUACCAAUAGAAGACAAGAAGAAUUAUUGAAGAAACUUUAUUGAAGAAGCUUUAUUGAAGAAGCUUGAAUGUAUUAAUAUGUUCCUCUCCUCAUGUAAUUUGGAAAAUCUUAACUGCUAUCAAUAAGAACAGCAUCCAUUAAUAAUUUCCGGAGAGAUAUCCCAAUGCUUCAAUCGAUCUAGCAAGAUUUACAAAUUCAUGCUAAUAAUCUUGAUCAAACACCCUUUUCUUUGUUGAAUAGACCAGCAAAAGAGUAAACUGAGCACCAUUAUGAUUGUGCUGAAAUUGUUUCAACGUGACAAAACACGUACUGGUCGCUAACCGCAUCAAAAACAAAGGCCUCCAUUCCAAUCUUCUCGAGCUCUGUCUUCAUGGGAGCACUGGUGCAGGUGCCGGAGACAUGCCUGAAAUGAUCCAUCUGUGUCUCGUCAAAUUACAUAAGGAAAACACCCUAUCAAACAAAAGAACCAACUUGGUUGCUCGCGGCUACAAAUUUCACAUCGAAAGAAGGAUAGGCGAGGCUAAAGGAUAAAAAAUAGCACUCCGAUUCGAAGAUCUAAAUAUGGGGAAGGCACUACCCCAAGGAGACAAACCCCAGCGGCCGCAGCUGAGCCCAACAAUCGGAAGCAACAAAUAGAAAAAUCUAGACUUGAGAGAUGAAAAAGAUACGAUUCACAAGAAAGGAAAUCGAUCAAAUCAUACCAGCCUUGACUUAUGAAUCGAUCGGACACGAAUCGGCCGACGAAUCCUGUUCCAAAGACGAACAAUCGAUUGCCUCCCCCACCAGAUUCGGACCUCGCCACCGCCACGGUCAUCGGCGCGGAUAACUGGCGGUGCGACCUUUCCGGAGGAGAACGCACGACCACUGUCCCCGCCCGAGAAAGUCGGCAAGAGGCCCCAAAAAUCGCCGCCUCCAUCCCGGUCCCGGAAACUCUUCGCCGAACUUACCUCAGUCGUCUGUUGCCUCCCUUAGGGCUCCUUAUUCUUUUGAAAAAUGAAAAACACUAUAUUAUUCCAUCGGAACAGUUAUUACAUCACACCAAAAAAAGUCAACCCGUUAGAUCGAGUUUACAUCGGCAAAUCUCCGACGCAUGAGUUUGCCAUUUUUCGGGAUGUAAGUCCAACGAUAAUAUAUAUAUAUAUAUAUAAUUAAUUAUGUCAAAAAUGUCUGAACCUCGACGCAACAUAGAGCAUCCUUUCCAUCUUUCAGUAACAUUUAAAUGAUGAUUUUGAGGGUCUUGUCGAUUUAUGAAGAUUGGUACCCUCAAAUAGUCGAUAAUCGAUGUUUCAUUCGUCGAAGAAUCAACAUCACAAAGAUAAAAAUGCGAAUUGAUGAGUCAGCAUCAAGAUUACAAGCAGGACAUGAAGAACGAACUUGGCCAGUGCACAGCUUCUUUGAUCUGCAAAAUAAGUGCAGAGUGGUACUCCGAGGAUGACAUGGGAAAUUGGCCAUCGAGUCAUCAUCACCAAACCGUCCCAUCAAGAAGUGAGAUCUCAUUUUCCGUGGAGGAUUCUGAGCACAUGCUUAGCCCAAUCUUUUCGUCGGACUCUUCCAAAGAUGCUGCAGAUCUAAGGAGCUGCCGACCGAUGGAGAUGAGGUGGGCUCGAUCAGCAGCUGAUUCAUUGGGGUAAGGGUCAAUCUUUGACAGUUCAUGUCAAUAAUAGAAUCUUUCGGUGUGAUCUUCAAUGUUUAUCUAGGCUGCUAUUAUUAGAAACCAAGUACGUAAUAGGAACCACAUCAGUUGAUCGAUCUGAUUACGAACUAUUCAAGCGAACUAAUCCAGAGACAGUCGUCGCCUGCUACAAGACGAAACGCCAUGCGGAACUAUAAUAGAUCAUGAAUCCGCUCCCUACCGCCAUCGAAUCUGUGGGUUGGGUUUGAGAUCGUUUCUGUGGUGUUCCCCAUGGCAAAGAUUUUUAGAACGACUGUUAGGUAAAGUUGCAUGAUGAUUGUCAAAGUAUCUUUCUCCUUCUUUUAGCUUGCAAAUGGACCAUGCACUUCAUGUUGUUCCAAGCCAAGCUCAGAUGUAGUGCCGAUAGACCAACAAGCUAACGCCACUGAUAUCGAACAGUGCCGGUCAUUUUACUUUGUAUACCAUCCUGCGGUUGAAAUCCUCGCCGGAUACGAACUACUUUUCCCCACCUCGAGAAGAUAGGGCGGGAAAGGAAGAGAGAGAGAGAGAGAGAGAGAGGGGGGGGGGGAAAGAAAACCUUAUCAUAGGGUUCUUAACAUCCUUGCCAUGGCCUCUUCAGUCACAUCCGACGCACGUACUUGUGAACUGUUGAAAGCUUCUGUGCCGCAGCUUUCUGUCCCAUCCUCCAAAAUUCCAAACUGGUGGGGGACUGCUCCCACUUCACUACCACCCCUACUUUUUGAAACCCUCAUCCAUGGCUGCUGUUCUGUUAAGCAACUAAAACUCCCAGCAGUCGUCAACUUCGUGAAUCCACAAAGCUCGUUUGACCUUGAACACAACUUUGGACUUUGUAGGAUAAUUACUACCAGAGUUUCUUCUUCUUCUUCUUCUUCUUCUUCUUUUCUUCUAAUUCAUCUAAUGAGAUCUUAUUUUUAUGUUUAUCGUUUUUGCCUCACGAGCUACCUGCCCAAUCGAACAUGUCCAUGGUGUCAGAGGCCUUGUGCCCCCUCUCCUCGUCUGGUUUUGCGUCCAUGUAUCCUUUGGAGAAGAUGAGGCUCAUCGGGUCAGUCUCCAGCUCCGCCAAGUCCGCGAAGAAGUCGUCGGGCUGGUCCGCUUCCGGGAUCAUCGGCUUGUAGCUUCGGUGCAUAUUCUGGUUGAAGUCGUCGUCUUCAGUUGGCUUAUCCAUCUCUUCUUCUUCUUGUUCCUGUUCUAGAUCUAGAUGAGCGUUCGAGGUUGUUGCCUCCCUCCGCUCUUCCUUGGGAGCCGUGGGCGACUUCAGAACAUCGUCGCCGGGGAUCUUUAAGGCGUUCUUGAAUGGAUGAGAUCUCGUGGAUCCUGCAAGGGCAUUGCGUUGCGUAGGCCACGGAUGGUUGUGCUCCGACGUGUAUGUGAUGACCAACAUAUUAGGAUCGGUUCGGCUGCGCUCCACUUGCUUCCUCGCCGAGCAUCCCUUGGAACUGCUACAUCUGUAAUAGCCCCUGAUGUCCAUGAAAUCUCCAUCAGCUUUUGGAAACCAAACAUACAGGAAAAUCUUGAGCCGAGAAAGAAGCCAUGGCACGGAUGAUUGCAAGAAGAGAAUGUACCAUGAACGAAAACACGACCUUUUCUUUUCCCGGGAGACAAAAAAGCUUGUUCGAUAUGAUCCAAACAAACAAUAGAAAAUAAGAAAACAGAGGAGGCGGCAUAAAAUUUCACUCACACAAGCUGGAAAUAGAGAUAAAGAAGAAAAAUCUACACUCGAUGUGCCCUGACAAGUCAAACGAUGCUCACAGUUAAAGCUAACAAGGAUGUCAAGAGUUGAAAUUAUCAUUUAAUGUAGGUCCAGAUCUUGAAGAAGCAAUAUGACCUUCUAAUAUUGAUCACCACUAUUUUAUUAGGUUUACGCAUCAUCCAUGAAAGGAGUGAUAGAGGCACGCACUUCAUGUUCCUCAUGCGAAAUUGUGAGAGCAAGACCAAAGAAAAACUGAUACACAAGGAGUGGUUCCUUGUUCUCUUCUUUUUUAUUAUAUGAUUUGAUCUUUGCAUUGGCAACUGAUGUGCAUCCACUAAUCAAGAAAAGAAAGGAAGAAGAGAAAAGUAGAUAUGAUUCCCUGAAGACGAGGAAUCGGAAAACUGAUGAUGGGGGAAAUUUACCUUGGAUACGGAGAACCCUUGAUCGGCUUCUGGCCAUACUUCCUCCAAGCCCAUAGAUCAGAUGGAACAACCUCACCGGUCGGUCUGCUGGUGGCCGCCGCUGGAGCCGGUAUGCAUACCACCUUCUUUGCCUGGCUUUUUCUGUGUCAAAAGUCCACUUAGAACUUUGAGAUAUUUCAACCCCAUAGAUAGGCAAAAAAAAAUUACUGAGAGAGAAGAAGAACAAAAGAAUUCCAAAAAUUCUAGAAGUCUUGGUUGAUUCAAGCGGAGGCUUGUGGUUGCUACUACCAAUCAUAAACUCGGUUCUGGGAGUCCGUGGGUCUGUCUUUUUUAGCUCUUUUUAGCUAAGGCCUGUACUAGUCGACGAACCAAUUCUAUGGCUGCCUGGUUUCACCAAGGAGCAAAAGAUGCUUCCACUUUUGAUGGCUCGAAUCCUUAAAGAGUUCCAUCAGUUCUUCCUGAUGCAUUCCCAUCAAAAGCAACUGCCUUCUACUGGACACUUAACUUCCGCCUAGAUUCAGUAUCAUUAAAACUAUUCUAGCUAGAUCGUCUCGAUGGAUCGUCCCAAGACAACUCACAGUAGGAAAAGCUCAGGGGGGAAACUAGAAAAAGGAAUCUCUUUAGAUGCUAGGAAGACUAGGGAUUUUUCACAAGAUGAUCGAGAUAAUCUAAUAGAUUAGGUACUAAGAUUCUUUCGACAAAUGAUCCGUCGAUCUCGAACCUUCGUUUGACCCCUGGAGUCUGAGGGCACAAGAUCUGCACUCCACCACCAUGAUCCACCGGUCCGGCUGCGGAGCUGCUGCUCACAUUCAUCAGCUUCAUCAUCAUCAUCUCCCUGGCCACUGCAGGCGACGGCUUCAUCAGCCUCGGUGAGAGCGGGAAAGGCCUGCGGCUACCACCGGGCGAGAUCUGAAGAACCCUCGAGAAGUUAUUACAAGGCCUGUCGUUCUCCUGCUCGCCUGAUUGUAACUCGGGAGAUACGAGAGGCCUCCUUCCCCCGCCAUGGACGCUGCUGCUAUCUGUGUCGGUCUUGGCCGGUGCCACCAUCGCUUCCGCGCCAUAGAAGAACUCCACGCCUGUGUACUGAUCCGGCAGAGGGUCACGGAGGUUAAGGAGAUACUCACCCGAGUUGUUGGUAGGGGCUUCGGUUCUCUCAGGAAAGACCACAGGCUGUGAAGGAAGGUGACACCGAGAGACCACAGGAUCAAAGUUGGCGUGUGGUGGUCCGCUACGGCUGCCUGCAGCUCGGACUAUGUCGGCGAGGUCCCCUCGGUCAUUCUCCAUCCUUUGCGAGAAAUAGUCACACACAUCCCUUGCUCGUUAGCAGCAGACACAUCUGGAUAGAGGAAAUCAGAGGUACUUGGGCCUGAUGGUGUUGCACCAGCUGCCUGGUCUCGUCUUCUUGCUUCUGCCGAAGCAUGGGAGAGAGAUCAGUGGGGAGGAGGACUAAAAAACGAGCCUUCACCAAGAGAAAGAGAAAGAAACUGAAGGCUCUUCUUUAAACUUAAGAAAAGGCGUAGGAGACAAUGAGAGGGAGACGGAGAGAUAAUCAUAUUUAUUAUAUGCAGAAGAAGCUGACUUUUUCAUGGCAAGGGCUUCUCUGCACGCAACAAGAGAGCCACAGAGAGAGAGAGAGAGAGAGAGAGAGGAGGGGGGGUGGGGGGGAGAAUAUAUUGGAAGAAGAUGGUGGGUUAAUCAUGCUUCUGAUUUUGGGUUCUUAAAAUCUAUUCAAUGGGUGGAUUUUGAUUUUGAUUUUGAUUUUGAUUUUCUUGGGAGGAGGGAGUGUUGAUGCAGGACGAGUAGCAGCUGUGAAUUUCUUAUGAUGAUAGAUAAAUCAAAAGAAAAAAAAUACAAUAAAUAAAAUAUAAUAUAUUUGGGUUGAUGUUGAAAGCAAUUCAAUUCAUUGAUUCAUCUUAUUAUUUAUAGAAUAAAAAUAAAAAUUAAAUAUAUUGUAAUUAUAUCAAAUAAAAUAUAUAAUAUGUUUUAAUAAUUCUGAUUCAAUUUGAAAAAUAAUAUUUAUAUUCUUGAUCGAUUGAGAUUGAUUGAAGAAUUUAUUAUUAUAUAUAUAUAUAUAUAUAAUAUUUGUAAACGAUAACAAAAAUUAUUAUUUACAGAGACCUGCACUGUUUAUAUUUAAUAUUUAUAUUCUCCACCAGUAAGCUUAUGUUUUGUUUUAUGACAGAGACCUGCACUGUUGAACCAAUUAAUGAGGUGGAAAGGGAGAGGUGGCAAGCAGCCGCAGUUUCCGGCUUUGAUAAGCUCCCCUCUCGUCAUGUUUCUGACACUGCCUCUGCCAUGAGAUCUUGCUGCGAUGGCCAGUUAAAGACUCCUAAAGCUCCCUCGCUGCAUGCAGUCACUUCUCGUAGUCAUGGUUAAUUAUUGACGCAAAGCAACCGAGGCUCGUUUUCUGGAUGUGAAAGAAGACCUUUGAUGAAUUCCAAAGCUACAGUGCAAAUCCUCUUCAUCGUUUGACCCUCCAAAAAAUAAUAAUAAUAAUUGGAUGAUCUCUUUGCUCGAAAACCUUUGCCUGGGGAAGAACUCAUUUGACGCUGAAACUCUAACAUCACACGUGCAAGUCGGACAAAGAAUGAGUAAGAUCGACAUGCAGUAGAAAACAUAUCUUAACCAAACAAAUAAUGAACUCACAUAAUACAUUAUUAUCUUAAAUGAUUCAACGAUCGAAGAAGAGGAGGCAACCAGAGAGGAGAAAAGCUCGAACAACUUCUUUUGUACUAUUUAACAUGGAUUGUUAGGCAUUAUAGUUUAGAGAAUGAUUCGUUUGCAAGUGUGUGUUUUGUUAAAACGAUGUCUACUUCAGAUGAUUAUGAGAAGAGAAUUUGACCUUCGAGAAACCUCCUCGGGUGUGGCUUUCCAUGUCGGAACUGUCACACAGUAAGAUCCUUUGUCCUAUUCGACAUUGGUAGGGUUUCGGUGGGAUUGGUAAAGUAGCAAGCCCAAGCCGGUACUGUUUCAUGAUCCACAUAUCCUAAAGUCUAAUAGUGCAGAUUCUAAUCAUGCACAGACUUUUAUUCUCGACUCUAACAUAUGCUAUCAAGAAAGUUAUUAUUAGAUACAAAAUGACAAAUUGAGAUCAAUGUUAAGAGUUUCCAAAUCUAAUCAUUUUCUAUUAUUUCAACUUUGAUUUUAAAUUUAGAAUAGUAGUUUUUAAUUAUAAAAUAAUUUUUUUAAAAAAAUAUGAAUAGUUGAUUCGAAUCCCUCAAUUUUGGUUCCCAAAAAAAUAAAAAUCAUAAUCAAAUCGAGAUCUGAUUUUUUAUUUGAUUUAAAAUGAAUAAAGAUUCGAUUUUGAUUUAGUUUCGAUUGGAUUAGAACUGUGAUGAAGACUAAUGGUAAGACAUACUCAAGAAGGAGCCAAGGAGAAUCUACUUGUACAUUUCAUUUAAUGAUGAAACCCUUAUGCCAACUCAUGCCAUUAAUGCUCAAAAGCAUAUAUAGAGCCCACGUUGUUGCACGAAUUGAAUACUCUCACUGGGAUUCGCUGGAAUCAUCAGAGGCAUCUCACCAUGUGAUCCGAAACCUUAUUCAAUUAACCUAUUACAUUAAUGCUUAUCCGAGGAGCCAUACGCCUACGUGUGUAUUCUAUGAGUCAUAGACGUAUAUAUCAAUAUUAAUAUAUGACGACAUACAUUGGAAGCUUAAACUACACUGAGAUGACCUAGAAUGGCUCGACCCUUAACCGUGAACGUUGAUCGACACAUAUAUUGAGAUUUGAUUCAUAGUUAUCUAUCUAUAUAGUUAUCAUGAUCUAGUAGUUAUAGGAUAGUUUCAAUAACUACCUCAAUCUAGUAGUUAUUUGGUAUCUUGUAAGUGUUCUUAUCAAUCCUCCUGUUUUUUUAAAUACUACAUCAGUUUUCUUGAAUUGAAAGGAUUCCUUUACUUGCAUUAGUAUUCCUUAAAGGAUUCCUUUUAUAUGUCAAUCCUUCAUCCUCAACAUUUGUGGUAUCAAAGCAUAGUAUGAUCUUCUCAAGAAUUAAAGUAGCAACAACCUCAAAGCAAGCUUGGUUAAUACUUCAAAAUGAAUUUCAAGGAAAUUGUUAGUCAAAUGAAAUCUUAGGGUGAACAUCUUCCUGAUCAUAUAAUUAUUGUAAAAGUUUUGAGAAGUUUAACUCCGAAAUUUAAUCAUGUUGUUGCCGCAAUUGAGGAGUCAAAAGAUUUAUCUUCUUAUUCAUGUUGUCACAUGAAGACAGAUUACUCGAAAAGAGAAAAUCAAGCAAACUAUGUUGAGAAAAAUGAAGAAAAUAGUAAAUUAUUUAUGACUCAUUCACAAGUUCAUAAUAUCUCAAAUGAUAUUUGGUUUCUGGAUAGUAGAUGCUGAUGAAAGAAAGUUAGACUUGGAGAUAGCAAGCAAAUCCAAGUGGAAGGGAAAGGAAUAAUUGAGAUGAAAAUAAAUCAAGAGAAGGUAAAAUACGUUGAUAAUGUUUUCUUUGUUCCACUUUAUCAUAUAACUUAUUGAGUAUUGGACAAUUGAUAGAUGAUGGAUAUUCGGUAAUAUUUGAUGAUAGUUCAUGCACUAUUAGAGAUAAAAAAAUCUGGUUUGAUUAUAGCAAAUAUUUGCAUGACACAAAACAAGAUGUUUUCACUUGAUGUGUCAAAUAUUGAAAGACAUGCACUUAUCACAACUCAAAAGAAUGAGUCUAGUUUAUGACAUUUAAGAUAUGAACACCUUAACAUUAAGGGUUUAAGGUUGUUAAGUUAAAAAUGAAUGAUUUUUGGAUUGCCUAAGAUUAAUACACUUGAUGUAUGUGAAUGAUGCAUUUAUGGCAAACAAAGUAAAAAACCAUUUCCUAUUGGAAAAGUAUGGAGAGCAUCCAAUUGUUUUGAAUUAAUUCAUGCUGACUUAUGUGGACCUAUGAAUACAAAAUCAUUUGGUAGAAGUUAAUAUUUUUUAUUAUUUAUGGAUGAUUAUAGUCGCAUGAGUUGGGUAUAUUUUCUAAAACUGAAAUCUGAAACAUUUGAUAAUUUUCGAAAGUUUAAAGCACUUGUAGAAAGGCAAAGUGGUAGAUAUAUAAAGAUACUUUGAACAUAUAGAGAUGGUGAAUUUUUAUCUAAUGAGUUAGUUUUUUUUUGUGAAGAAAAUGGUAUUCAUAGAAAAUUGACAGCACCAUAUACAUCGGAGCAAAAUGGUGUAGCUGAACGUAAGAAUUGGACUGUCAUUGAAAUGGCAAGAAGUUUGCUUAAAGGAAAAUAUCUUCCAAAACAGUUUUGAAAAUCAGAAAAAUAUAUUUUAAUUGGUUAUUCUUUAUAAUCGAAAGCAUAUCGAUUAUAUAACCUUGUUAGUGGCAAUCUGCAGAAUCAAGUAAUAGAUCUUGCUCCAACAAGUUCAUCGUCAACCUCAUCCAAUAGUAGUUCAAAUUCGAAUUCCUUGAAACCUCUCUAAGAAAUUUCAGAUCAUUAACAUAAAUUUAUAACUCAACAUUUGCUUUGUUUAUUUCAGAUCCAACAACCUUUGAGGAAGCAGUUAAAAAAAAGGAAAGAAUGAAACUUGGGAGCUAAUGGAUCUACCGAAAGAAAAGAAACCUAUUGGAUUAAAAUAGGUAUUCAAAACAAAGUUUAAAUGCAAAUUAUUUGGUUUCACUGAUAGUGAUUGGGCAGGAGCGAUGAUCGAAAAAGUACUUCAAACAAAUGGAGCCAUAAUAAUAAAGCAUCAUGGAACAGAUGAAAAGUUACAGAUAUCUUCACCAAAUCGUUUCCAGUUUGAAAGUAUAUUUAUUUUAUGUCGCAAAUUGGUGUAUGCAAAAUCAGGGGGAGUGUUGAGAUUUGAUUCAUAGUUAUCUAUCUAGAUAGUUAUCAUGAUCUAGUGGUUACAUGAUGAUUUUAAUAACCACCUCAAUCUUCGUGUAGUUUCGGAAGAAUGGCACGUCUCAUCAUAACAUCAGCAGUACAAAUACGUAGAAGCGGUACAAAGUAAGAUGAGGAUCUUAAUGUGAUUCCCAUACCAAAAAGUCUUGGAAUUCAGAUAUCCCAUUUUGCUCAACAUUGAUGGCAACCAUGCAUUGUGUUUCUACUCCUAACUUUUGCGAGAGAAGGAACAUGACGACAAUAGUUCAGAAAUGUUCACUCAACUUUGGUUGCUUUAGCAGCAGCAGAAGCUGCCGUCUCACCAACAAUCUGCUCGUAAAGAUCUCUUAUAUUCAACCCAGCGAUCGCCCGGAAGAGGCCAGUUCUGCAUGCCUCACCAUCGGUCGUGACACCUCCCCAUAGAACUUGGUGGACAGGUUGCUUGGAUGCCUCUCCACAUAUAUCAGCUCGUCCAAUCUAUCGAAUUCCCCAUCCGUCUCCGACACUGAUACCUAGCAAACAACGUUCACACGAAACAAAAAGUCAAGCAGUUUUCCAGCGAUUGCAGAUCGAAGACCCGGUGAUCAUCAUCACCUCAAUGGAGUAGCAAGUGUCCGGGCGAUAAAAGAACUCGAUGCCAGGGUACGAGCAUGCCAGCUUCCUUCCGCAUGGUAUCCACGAAAUGGUGGAUUCUUCGUCGAACAGGGAAACUGGACUGAAGUACUUCAACCCUUCCUUCAUGAUCAAUCUGACGCACAAAAAUUUACCUUCACUGUCAUCAGCAAUCAAUUGCGUCGGCAGAACUUGGAUGGCAGCACCAGCAUGUUGCUUCUGCGGAUCUGCCGACCGCAAUAAACAUGGCAUGAACUAAAAUUUUCCUUUGCUGAUUCCUGUAUAUUUUCUACUGCAAAAUUAAGUACCAAUGCAAGCAUCAGAGUCGGGCUUUCGAGCUGCAAUGCUAGCUUCGAUGCUCUCGAGGCUGUGCCCACCUUCCGCCAUAUCUCUCUGCGAUCCACAAGUAAAUGGAAAUGGAAUCAGAGGGCAAUGUACUGACAUUUACUGCAUUACGGAAUUAGGUGAGUUAUAGUCACUGACCUGGAUUUUCCAUGCAAACUUGACCUUACUGUUAAUAUCCAAGUAGAUGCUGAAGUCCAAGAGGCCCCUCGCACGGGGAUCAUACAUACCUAAGGGACGGUCAACCAAUUCUCAUCAGAUCGUUUGCUAUGUUACGGAGGUAGAAUAUGAAUCCUAGACUUGGUAUGUUGCUCAUGACCAAAACUGUUUGCUUACAAUGAAGAGAAUCAUCAAAAUGAACCAAGCGCUCUCCUUUCUAACAAUGUCUCCAAAGGAAAUACAAUGGAAGCUCACAAUGGGUGCAGUCCCUCUAAGACCAGGAGCUUGGGUGGUUGGCUUAGCUCGGGGGGUUCCGGCAAACCAGUAAGAUGGUUGUAGAUGGGCUUCUCCAUGGCCACUCCUUCAUCGAGAGCCUUCACUUGCUGAUACAUGAGGUCGAAGUUGUUGUCCCUUGGGUCCAAUGCCGUGACUCCCUCUGCUUCCUUCCACUUCUAUCCAACGAGUGGUAGUCAUCCAGACAUAUGACGGUGGUGGUGUCACCGGUCAGCGCUGCUGCACCUGCAGAGGUUGCCAUUUCUUCUUUCCUCCAAGCUUUUGAAAGAGAACACCAGGGAGGAAGCAUAAAGAUGAAGCGAAGAUGCGGUUCCAGUCUUCCCUUUUUUUCGAUGAUUUCAAGGGGCAGCCUUGGAUUCCUUCUAAUGUUUAUUAUUUGUGACAACAUUUCAAGAAAAAUGCAUCGCCUGAGGUUCUUUGAUCUGAUGAAACUUCUCAUGUGUCUCUCGUUUUGGAACUUGGCCGAUGGCCAUAGUUCUGCACAGAAACGAGGCAAACUUGUAGCUUCGAUCGGGUUUCCAACAAUGUUUUGCGGGUUGUCUUGUAGCUUCAUUCGGCUAAACAAGGGAAAGUACGUUUAGCCUAUAACUCACUGUGUCAAUGCUACGUGCGUGCAUGCAGUCCGUUCUUUGGUCACUAUAUGAUGAUUUUGAUGGUUACCUUAAUGCACGUAAUAUUUCCAUAAAGUUACCUCCCGAAAUUGUACCGCCUAUCCAUACUUGCAUCUCCUUGGCUUCUUUUUCUUGCCGUGUCAGUAGUGUGCCUGUCAAGGGUGUACAUGAAAUUAUUUUAUUUUUUGAGGAUAAUAAUAAUAAUAAUAAUAAUAUCUUGCAGAAGUACAUGUUAAGACUAAUAAUGGAGAUGGGUUUGGGUGUAUAGGAAGAAUCGCUUGUGGUGGGGGCAAUUGCCAGGUGGCGCGGAUGACGGUGCGUUAUACGGCAAGAAUACGGUCACAUGUCCCAAUUUAAAAGGCACAGCGGCGGGUCCCAUUCAAGCGUCUCAACAUACGUGUCAGUUCCUUUUUCGCUAAAAGAGUUGUGGUGUGCUGGUUCCCCAACAGCUACUAUUAGCCUCACCUUCCUCUGUUCCCGUACGGCUAGACCCAUUAAGGGUCCAGAUUUAUCUGGAAUGGUAGCGAUGGCGAUAAAUCACGAUCGAUCCCGAAUCUCAAGGCUUACAACACCGCCCUCAUUUUCCUCUCCUGUCCUCGGCAUCUCCGAGGGUUGGAAAAUAAAGCCGGAAAAAAAAGCGGAGAAAAAGAACGAAGCGAUCAGGGUGGAGUUAGGGCUUCGCGAUUUCUUCCGGGGUCGCAUCGAUUUCUCCCUGCGGAAGAGGUCCACCGAUCCAUCAAUGGCAGGGGCGCUACAGUACCUGGAAUCCCAGCAGAACGCGCAGCCCGAGCUGGCGGACUGGUACGGCGCCUUGGCGGAUCUGUACCAACGGAAGCUGUGGCACCAGCUCACCAUCAAGCUCGAGCAGUUCGUUGCCCUGGCCGUAUUCCGGGUAGAUCUCUUCUCCAUUUCCUCGGCCCCUCCUUGUUUGCUGCUAGGGUUUAAAGUCAUCAGUUUGACAAUUGGUCUAGUCUUCUGUUUGGUAUGUCCUGGUUACUGGAUCUUCACAGGAAUUUGCGCUUUUCCUUCUUUUCUCUUUUGACAUGCGUGUUUGGAUCUUUGGCGGAAUCGAUAUUUAGAUGCGUGAAGAUAACAGAUCUUGAAGGUAGAAUUCUUGUUCAGUGUUCCUUCUUCUUUCUGAGCCGGAAGAUACACACAACAGCAAUGAAUCUUACAGAAUAUGGUUCUCUAGGAGCACUGAUGCGCGGAAGAUAAAUUUUUUAAAGUUGAUUGCUUCUUCUACCUUCAUGGGAAAACCUCAAUAAACGAUACCUUUGAGGUGGCAAAGCUACAGCAAAUUUGCUUAGUUAGUUUUGUUCUGUUUUUUUGUGCUUGCCUCUCUGUUCUUCCUUGGAUGGCUCACAGAAACUAUUGGUGCCUCAGAUUAAAUAUCUUUACGUUAGCAGAAUGUUCAAGUUCCAUCAGUGACCUUAUAAUUUGCAAUUCCAGAUAUUUAGUUGAAGAAAUCGUCUACUAAAGUUAUUAUUAGUAUAUACAUAUGAGUGUGUAUACAUAUAUGUGUAUAAACACAUUUAUAAUAUAUUUUUUACAAGAACAACAAUGAAAAAAUCUUGUGCUUUUAUUCUGCAGUUGUUCAAGCGUUAUUUUAGACCUCUAUCUUUUUGGCUAUCAAGCGAAACUCUUUUUGCAUUCUUCUUGAUCCUGCAUAGGUUUGGUCCAGCUAGGUUUCUUAUUGCGCUAAAGUUCCAGUUUUGAAGGUUGAGGCACUUUCUGAUAACAAAAAGAAGGUAGGUAGUUUAGUUACUUUAGUAACAUUUAAAGAAUAAUUUCUGUUAAACAUGCCAGUUUACUCAUGUUUGCACUUUAGAUUUUUCUAGCCAGGAUCCAUACGGCAGUGUUAUGAAGGUAAAACAGAACAGUGAUUCUACUUUGAUAUUAUUUGGAUUCUUGAUUUUGGUUAUCUAGUGAUGUUUUAUUCAUUAAUUGGUUUGCACAAUCACCUAAGAAUAUUGGUGAUCAUUUCAGCUAAAAGAAAUUACUUGACAUAUUUCAUGAUUCUAUUUAUUGACAGCAUUAUAAAGUUUAAUGUGGCAUUAUUUGUGUCAGGUAUAUAAGCAAGAAAGUUUUCUUAGUUUCAUCCUGUUUAAUUCCCUGCAUUUUUCAUGUUAUGAUAAGUUUGUUUGUUAUGAUAAGUUCUCUAUAUUUGUAUCCUCAUUCUCCUUGUUAUGCAUGUUAACUCUUGUGACAUGUAACUGAGAAUGCAUGCUUCUUUUUGAUUCUCACCUUUCUGCUACUCUUUGUAGGCGGGCGACACCCUUAUACAACUGUAUCAUAACUUCAUUACAGACUUUGAGACAAAAAUCAAUCUCUUGAAGCUUGCUCACUUUGCUACAGUAAUUUCACGACAGUAUUCAGAAAAAGAAGCUGCAAUUAGCUAUCUUGAAGGAAUAAUUGAAAAACUGAAUGCUACUAGAGAGUUGCGGAUUGAGGAGCCUAUCCUAUAUGCGAAGAUGCAAAUAGCUGCAUUUUAUCUAGAAAAAGGCAGUCAAAAGGAGUGCAAAAAGCUUCUUGAAGAGGGAGAGAGAACGCUAAGUAGCAUGACUGAUGUUGAUCCUUCUGUUCAUGCUAGUUAUUAUUGGAUUACCUCUCAGUAUCAUAAAUCACGACAAGAAUUUGCAGAGUUCUACAAGAGUGCCCUACUUUAUUUGGCUUAUACUUCAGUAGAAUCUCUUUCAGCUUCAUUCAAGUUGGUAAAUGAUUUACUUAUUACAUAUGUAUAUCAUAUUUGAUGAAGGAUUUGUUUUCAAUCUUGCCAAAUUUUCUAAUAAUCAUUAUUGUUUUUAAUACCAUUACAGUUUGAGGUUUUGAAAUUACAAUCAAGGGUAAUAAUUUGAUCAUGUUGAUGACAUGAUUGGGCUUUGAGAUUUUUGCCUUCUUCUGUUGUUGGAGAUUCAUUGAGGUCUCUUGUCGUAAGUUAUUGUAUCUUAAAAGGAUGUUUGACCUUAUUACUAAUUCGAGAUGAAGUUGGUGAGAAUCUUGAAUACAGAUGCAUAAGUGCUCAGAUACUGAAUGCAAAUUUCCCUUUCCCUUAAAUCUUUUUACAUUGCUUACAAUUCGAUGAUUUACAUUUUUUAACUGAAAAGUCCUUCAUGGAAGGUCCUACUGUACUAGGAUUAUUAUGUGACUUCUAUGCAUGAGAGAUGAUUUGUGACUAUUAUGUCUUCCAGGGCAAGUUUCUGUUUUUUCACACAGUUGCAUUUCAAAGUCUCUUAUGGGUUAUCUGGUAAAAUAUGUUCCAUAUGGGUUGUAUAUAUAGUAGUUCUUUAAUUUUCAUCCUCUAGUUAUUCAUAGUGGUUGGAAGGCAUUGCAGAAACACUUCUAUUAGUCCUUCAGAAUCUCUUCUAAGUUUUGGGUUUUGCUGGUGGUGGCAAAAGAUCUGUGGAGCUGACUCCAAAUAGUUGUGAUUUCACAGCUUUGUUAUCAUUGUUGUUGUACUGUUAAUGUAGUAGUUUCUCUUAUUAUAUUUUGUGGUACUUCAUUCACUCAGUCUGACCUAUAUCUUGUUUCCAGGAUUUGGCCUUUGACCUUUCCCUUUCGGCACUUCUAGGGGAUAACAUAUACAACUUUGGGGAAUUGCUUGCGCAUCCAAUUGUAAGAAAAAGUUCUAGACAAAAUUCUAUGAUAUACUUUCUUUUUCCUGAUAGAACUAAUUACAUUUUGUAUUAUUAAGUCAAAGAAUUGUGAUCUUCAUUUUCUAAUGUGUUGAUGAUUUGUAAAAAUAUCGAUUUGUUGAUAUACCUCUUCUAUCUUGGUGUGUUAUUUAAUUGCUGACAUGCUUCAUCACUCCUUAACUGUUUGUUUCCUUUCUCACAUCUUUUUCUUCCAUAUGUGGACGAUUAUCAUCAUGAUAUGUGUCCACAGAGCAUAAAGUUGGAGCAAUCUGACUGCCAUGUUGGUUAUCUCAUGAUUUUCUUUCUAUCCAAGUUCUACUUUCAUUUAAAUAUAGCAACUCUCGUUACAUAUUGAACUCUCAGAAUGUUUUGCAGAUCAAUAGUCUCACGGGAACAAAGAUGGAGUGGCUAUACCAUAUUCUUCAAGCAUUUAACGUUGGACACCUGAUUCGCUAUCAAGAACUAUGUCGGAUUCAUAAUGCUGCUUUGAAUGCACAACCUGCAUUAGUAGAAAAUGAGAAGAAGUUACUUGAAAAAAUUAAUAUUCUGUGCUUGAUGGAAAUAAUUUUCAGGUAAGAUUUUCAAGUGUCAAUUAAUUUCCAGAUUAACGUUAAGUACAUAUUUCUGCUCUUUCAUUUUUAGUGUGAUUGAGACUUUUAACCAUUUCCAAACUGAUACAUUCAAUUCCUUGCAGUCGGCCAUCUGAGGAUCGAACCAUUCCAUUGAAUAUUAUAGCUGAGCGAACUAAACUUUCUAUUCAAGAUGUGGAAUAUCUUCUUAUGAAAGCCCUUUCUGUAAGUCUAACCUUGCAUUUUUUACCCAUAGCUCUGAUUCUGCUGAAGGGAUACAUAAAAUGUCAAUAACUUGGGAAUUAAUUUAAUCACUGAAUGUUACUCCAGCCUUGUUGUGUUUUGCCCCCUUCCCUUUCAUGCCUUUUUUGUCAUGUAAUAUUUACAAUACUUUAAGCGAUGUAAUUGUUACUUUUUACGUUUACCCUUGGUACCUUAGCUUUUCAUUUGACUCCCCUAGCUUCUUAGUUGUUAUUGGUAUUCUUUCAUUCUGGAUUAUCUGGAUUUGUAUAGAAAUUGAAGUUAUGCUCGAUGAUUUGACACUUUUCAUUGCCCUCUUAAUUAGUAAUAUAGGCGGAUAUGUUUCACACUUUCGCUUAUAAUAUUCUCUGCUUGUUAGCCUUCCACAGUGUAUGCAUCUUACAUAUAUAGUUUUGUGAGCAUUGCUUUUAUUUUGUGACAUGUAGUUGUAAAUAGUGCUAUGCAUCACUGGGCAUGUUUGUCAACAAAAUGUAGUUCCAGCAAGAUGACUUGAACCUUAUUGUUGCAGAUCCUUCUGUGCGUUUGUAAGUAUGGAUUCCUUGUAAAAAUGUAUCCAACUAUUAGGGAAAAAGAAAAUCAUUUGCUUAUUGCAGGGCAUGUAGGCCUUCCUGUUAGGACUUGUUUGUAUCCUGGAACUUUCUUGCCUACAUGGCACAAAAUACAAACACACUGCUGGUAAUGCCGUAAACUCAUUUUUUAUGAAUUUUCUCUAUAUGUUGGGAUCUGUGCACCGGAAAUGAAUCUAUUUCAAGUAGUUGUGAAAAUCUGACAAUCAGUUGUAACUACAAUGAAAUAUGCUUUAAUUUCUUAGGUAUGUUGUUCUAAUAUUCUCAGUUGAAUUGUUGAAGAAAGCUGGGAAUUGAAUCGGAGCUAAAGCCCCAGUGUCUUAAACAGAUGGAGGCAGACCAAUCUCCACCCUCUGCCUAGAUAGCUGAGACUAGUGUUUUUUGUUGUACUAUAGGUCUUAGGCAUCCUAAUAUGCCGCUGAAAAGUUGCAUCUUUUUUUAAAACAUUCAGUUGGAAUGCUGAACUUUUUUUUUCUAGCCAUAUUAUUUCCUGCAUCAAAUUACAUAUAGCCUUAAAGAGUAAAUUCUUGGUGGCUGCAAUGACUUGCAGGUUCAUCUUAUUGAAGGCAUAAUAGAUCAGGUUGAGGGUACAGUACAUGUCUCGUGGGUGCAACCAAGAGUUCUGGGAAUUCCACAGAUCAAAUCAUUGCGUGAUCAUCUUGAUGCCUGGGUGGGCAAAGUGCGGACAGCCUUAUCGACGGUUGAAGCAGAAACCCCCGAUCUGAUUGCUACAUGAUCUGCGUUUGACACCUUUUCAUUUUCCAUUCCUCUGUUAACAGUUCCCCGCACAGGAGAAUUCAGAAAACCAAACAUUGGGAAUGCUCUUUAAUUGAGGUUCUUCGACCCCUUUAGAAGAUUUUGCAUUGAGGCGUGGUGGGCGAAUGCUGAGCAUGUAUUUUUUUUCUUGAUUUUUUGUUUUCAGAAAUGAAUUUUAAGCAUGCAUUGCAAUCAUAAACAUCAUAGUUUCUCCUAACUAUUUGAGUGGUUUCAAAUUCAAAAGUUAUCCAGAAAACGACGAUUCAUGAAUUCUCAUGCUGUCUUAUUUUACUGAAUGUUUUUGUAUUUCUGGAUGGAAAGAUAGAAAGUAAAAUGUCACUUGAUAUUAUUUAAAAAGGUGUAUGGAUGAUUCAAGCGUAUUUAGGUCAAACAUGCCACAUUGUUGGUGUUAAUCAUAUGCAUGGUAUGAUGCACAGCGUUGUUUGUUCAAUAUAAGCACACAAAAUUAUUGUAGUACAAAGGGGCUGCGAGAAAAAGGAAAAUUUUGAUCGGACUUUCAUGAUCAUCAUCUUACUGUCUUAAGAGCUCAACACUCUUUUCCGUGUUUAGUUGUGCAUCUUGCGAUUCAUUUUACUUCAUUUUACAUUGUUAGUAUUGCUUAUAAAAAAUAAUCUACUUCCCGUGUUUAGUUGUGCAUCUUGCGAUUCAUUUUACUUCAUUUUACAUUGUUAGUAUUGCUUAUAAAAAAUAAUCUACUUCAAACUCUCUAACUCUUCAUUAUGUGGUGUGAUAAGAUGGCAAACUCUCUAACUCGGGUUUGAGAGUAGGUCGAUGGCAUUGUCUUCGAUGUCUCUAAUCAUUGGUUUACUACGAAUAGUAAUAGAUCGAGGGUUCGAUAUCUCUAAUCAUUGGUUUACUACGAUGUCUCUAAUCAUUGGUUUACUACGAAUAGUAGGUCGAGGGCAGGGCGUUGCAUCUUCGAUGUCUCUAAUCAUUGGUUUACUACCGAGGAAUGGAUUAUAUAUAAAUUAUCUAGUUUUUAAAAUUUUGUUCAUAAAAAAAUAAGGUGAAUAAAAAAGUAUUUUCUUCUCGAGUUUUAACGAAUUUACUUCUUCUUAGAAAAAGAAAUGGAGAACCUCUCCGGAGUUACUGUGUUCUCAGUUCCUGUGCAAUGGAAGCUUAGUACUACUGCAGUGGCUGUCGGACUUGCUCUCCGAAGUCACGGAGGUUUGGGCUUGAACCCUAAAGCCACCAUUCUUAAACCCCUUAUUGUUCUAUGUUCAUUCCUUUGAAUCCUCUCUUAAAUGCUUGUUUUCGAUCUCCGUCGUCGAAAAUUUUGGCUCAAAAUUCUCUCUUUUCCCCCUCUCCCUCCCUCCCUUCUCGAUUGCAGAGAAGGGCUGGCUCAAUUUCUUGCCCGAGACCCUAAAUGAUACUGAGGGCGAGAGGGUUGUGCCGCCUGACCCCCCACCGAGCGUUCGAGUCCCCAAGAGCCUUCAGCAUACAGUCGCCUGACAGCUCCAGGCUCCAGCUUUGCCCUGAGAUCGUGGAGUCUACCGUCUCCUCAUGCCCGUCGGAUACGAUCGCAUUGAGCUUCUUCCUCUGGUGCGCCCGCCAGCCGAAUUACUUCCACGAUUCAUGUUCUUUUGACCGAAUGAUCCCUGUGGUCUUACGGCUCACCGACCGAUUUGGGUCUGUUAGGGAGAUUGUCAGGGAACAGCAGGCUGUUGGGUGCUCCGUAAAGGCGCAAACUUUCAUGGUUUUGAUCAGAGUUUGUUGGCGAGGGAACUUCUAUGGACGUGCAUUAGAGGCGUUUGAUGAAAUGAUUAAGCAAAAUUACGUUCCCAACACCUACGCCAGGAACAUGGUCCUUGAUAUCUUAUUCAAGGUGCAUUAUUUUGACAUGGCAUUGAAGUUCUUCAGGGACACCAGGUUUCCAAACUUCAUUAGUUACAAUAUAGUGCUAUCCAAUCUUUGCAAGUCAAGUGAUUGGCUGGGAGCCAGAGAUGUUAUAAGAGAGAUGGUAAAGAAGGGAUUCCACCUUAACACUGGCAGUUUUUCUGUGGUCUUGGACUGUUUUUGCAAGGCUGGGAGGCACAUGGAAUUGCUACAGUUACUAGCGCUCAUGAUUGUAUCCGGUAAACAGCUAACGGUAGCAAUCUGGACGAUUUUGAUUGAGAGUCUCUGUCAAGCUGGUCAAGUGGAUAGAGCAAGUACAUUGUUGGGAAAGAUGGUAGAGCAUGGGUGUUCACCCACUGUGAUGACGUACACUUCUCUAAUUAGAGGUCUCUUUCAAGCUCAGAAGUUUAAUGAGGUCUCCAUGCUCUUAGAAACCAUGAUAUCUAAUAAGUGCAGUCCUGAUCUGGUUUUUUAUAAUGUCCUGAUUGAUUGCUUUUCAAAAGCGAGAAGGUUUGAUGAUGCAAUUGAUGUUUUCCUUUGUCUAGGGGACAGUAGAUUACAUCCCGACGCUUAUACUAUGUCUUCUUUAAUAUGCACACUAUGUUCAUCCGGGAAAUUGAGAUUGCUUCCUAAAUUAAUAGCAGGAUCGGAUGUUACUGCUGAUCUGGUUGCCUGUAACUCAUUAAUAAAUGCUCUCUGCAAGGCCGGUUUUCCAUUUCAAGCAGUAGACGCUUUCGUCAAUAUGGUCAAUAGGGGUUUUUCUCCAGACGAUUAUAGUUAUGCUGGGUUGUUAAAUGGAUUAUGCAUGUCUGGAAGCAUUGAGAAUGCAGUCAAUGUUUAUAAUGCCAUUGUUGUGAAUAAUCCCAAUGUUGAUGCAUAUGUGCAUACAGUCAUCCUCAAUGGGCUUGUAAAAAGAAGAAAAUAUCAUAUGGCAAUUAGACUCAUCAGGAAAGCUGCCCUUCAAAAUUACUGCCUUGAUGUUGUGUCCUAUACAAUUGCUAUUAAUGGGCUUUUUAGAGGUCAUAGGUUUGACGAGGCUUGGCAUUUGUUUGAACAGAUGAAGCAUUUUGAUAUUGUUCCCAAUCUUUACACAUACAAUGUGAUGCUUUCCGGCUCUUGUUUGGCUAGAAACAUGGGUGCGGUUAAGCAAUUGCUAAAAGAAAUGGAGAUUACCGGAGUUGACAUGGACCAUACCUCAUUCAAUGUCAUAAUUUGUCUUCUGAUUAAGUUGCAUCGUUAUAAUUCAGCACUCCUUUUAUGUAGGAGAAUGUGUGAUCUGGGAAUGGUACCUAAUAGGAUCACUUGCUCGUUACUUUUGAAUGGUCUUGUUAAUAUCUCUGUUGAAGAAUUAUAUGAUCUUUACCCAAAACUGGCAUAUGACUUUAAGAAUCCUUAUUUUAUGGACAAUUCCCCAUCUGAUUUGCAAAGUGACCUUCUUGUAUGCUCCGCAAAUUAGAUCAUUUUUUGGAUGUCCAGCGGGAAAACAUGAACACAGGCAUUACCAUAAGUGCGUGGGUGAAGCAACUUGGACUUCUGAAUAGAGUCAUGAGAAAAUGGAUAAAGUUGCUACUGCUAUGACUUAUGAGUUUGGUACUCCAUUAGCUUCUGAAGUGCCCUCUGAUGCUUCAUUGCUCAAGAAACUUGUUGGCAUCACUCUGGGUACUAUAGAUGUCGUCUGGAAGCUUUUGAUACUCCAUAAUUGUCCUACGUAAGGACAGAAAGCAUGUGCAGAAAGGAAGCUUUUGAUGAUUACUUAAUUUUUUUGGAGGAAUGGCACAGAUCUCAUGUACACUGGCAGAGAAUUAGAUGUAAAGCAAGCAAGAAAUAUACAACAGAUCAUGGGGAUUUAAUAUGAGCACAAUGUAUUCUUCACUGGUGCAUGGCGUUGGCAUCACUUCUACUUAUAACUCAUUAUAAUUGAUAGAUCAGUGGUGGGUGCUUGACAACUUCACUGAACAGUGUCCUUUCGGACAGGUAUAGUUAUUUUCUUCUUAGUUGUUAGGACUUAGUGUAGCUAAUGACUAUUGCGAAAUUGGAAAUGGACUUUAAAGAUCCUUGGGCUGUUUUGGUUGGUAACAUGUGUUUCAACUUUUAAUUGCUCGUCAGUGUUAUUUUUUCUGGUUGAAAUAUGGGAGUUAGCCAGUGGUGGAAUUAAAAAGAAAAUGCUUGCUGUGUGGUUAUAUAGAGAAAAAAGACAUGUUAUGAAUUGUGGUAGUUCUAAGUUUAGAACAUGUUAUGAAUUCUUGGUAGCAUCCAAGAGGAGAAAAGACGUGUGAUAAUAAUUCUUGGUAUUUCUAAAGUUUCCAUGACCGUCCCCAUCAUGCAGUUUUUUCUUCUCCUUCUUGUGUUUGUUGCCUUUGUCUAUGGCAUUUUGAAAGUUUCCGUGACUCUGUCAUUAUGUGGAAUUAAUUUCUCGCUCCUUUCUGUGUUCCUUUCAAGAUGAUCAUCUUCUUCUGCAUUUUUUCUGACAGGGUGCUGACAACUGAGUCUUGAAAAGAGAAAUGGAGUCCCGUUAUUAUCCUGGGUCUUCUCUGCAACUGAAUUGCAGAAAUGUUGAUCACUUCUUUCACCAUUUAUGGUUAGACUUUAAUACCAUAUGAAUCAACUUUUUUCAUGAUCAGAGGGUGAGUCCGAGUCCCCUCCAAAGAAAUUGUUGCUCCAUCAGAACAGUAGCAUCAUUUGAGCUCUUUAUUUGCUCAUCUGGAAGGUGUUGCUGCAGAAUCCUUUAGGAAAAAGAAAACUACUGGCACCAGAGUUGUUCAUUGCUGUGAAGCCGACGGAUCGGCUUGCUGUAUGAUUGUGAUAGCGUGUAACAAAAUAGCACAUUAUGAAAUACAUGUACAUAUACAUGGUUAUCAUUAUUACAAAAGCUAUAGGCUACAUGAAAAUGGAGACCUGUAAAAGGCAUUUUUGAAGGAAGCAUCGCAGCAUGCAAUCACGGUUGUUUCUUCGUGACCAAAGCUUUCUUGCUUCUUUUACUGAAAGAUUACUACCCGAGUCCUGAAGAUAAAUUGUUCCAACAGAUCAAAAAGGAUCGAUUUCAUGGAUAACUUCUUGAUCUCUCGUGCGUAUGUCCCCUCCAACACUCUUAAACUCUAAAUAUUAGAAUUGCCUUUAUUAUUUUCAAAUUCUCUACCAUGCAUCUAUGCAAAAUUUUAGAUCGCAAAGAUAAUUAAUUAAUUUUGCAACUUUGAAAGAGAAGUUUUAAGAGGGGCAUACCAAGCCGAAAGAGAAAACAAACCGAGUCCCAAACAUCGAUCAUCUUUAGCACCUAAAUAUGAUACUGGAGAACCAAACGUGUAUCAUAUAACCUCAAACUUUAAUCACUUAUCCCGAAUAAAAACUCCAUAUCAAAGAGAUCAAUUUUGAUAAUGCUUACAGGUUCAAGCUUCCAUAUGGAUGAAAGGAAAUGAUUGUUGUGUUGACUCUUGUUCAAGAUGAUGAUGCGAUAAAACAUCAGAAUAACAGAAUCCGUAAGUAACAAAAGUCUGAGCUUAAUAAGAAGAAAUUGGAUUGCAGCACCUCGAUACAAGCAGCAAAAAUUGCGGAGUAUGAUGCAUGGGCAAAUACAGAGUACAUUUGUACAAAAGGAGCUUGACCACGAUGGAUUUAGUAAUAUGUGUCAGGUAUUUGAAUUGUUGUAAUAGUUCAUGCCUUUGAAGUUCCGAGUCUCCUGACAUCUGAAACAAGAGGCAUGUCUCUGCUGUAGUUGUUUACUUACAGAAGAGGUUAGUGCCGAGGAUAGGGUUGUUGGGAAGAAAGCGAAGCAGGGCACCAGCUAGACUUAUAAUGUCUUUUGUUACUGGAGCUACCAAAAGGAGACGGCACCUCCUCUGCAGGUAACCUGACUACAAUAUGCAUCCAAGUAUGAUCCGGCAGUUUGAUGUAAAUUGCAAUCUAAUAGGGAAAAGAAACAUGACCCCUUGCUCCUCGUCAAUGCACCACAGCUUAUUUGCCUAUAGAUGCAGUCCCCUUGAGUUGUUUGUGAAAGCAAGUUCAACAUGAGUUAACUUGAGAACAACAAAGCCCUUACCUUUACUGCAAUAGGAAAAUUUGUGCUCCCAUCCAAAAAGCUGUAGAUGUCUGAAGCAGCUCAGUAUUUAUGCUAUCCAAUGGCUUAAAAAGAAGAGAUCCAUCAGCAGAAUUUAUGCAAAAAUAAAGGAGACAAACGGAUGGCAAAUUAACCAAAAGUGAGAAGUGUAAAUUAGUCCCAAACUAUCGCAGACAAUGAAAUCAAAAUGAGUUUCUAGACAAAUAGGCAUGUCAUAAUACAUACUAUAAACUUAAUGGAAGUUAAAAAAUCAGAUGCUAAUUAUACAUGGAAGGAAUAACCCUGAGGUCAAUCAGAAAUUUGUGACUACUUCCAGAAACUCACAUCAUGAUUCCUUUCGGUCAUACUAGGUGUAAGUUUUUGUCAAAAGAAGCUAGCUAGCAAUCGGGGUCUUGUAUGGGGUUUGUGAUGUGCCAAGACUGUGCCAGUACAUGCGGCAAUGUGAUUAACUUGUACCAGUCAUCACAAUGCCCAUCUUACCAUACCAACCAGCACGUAUUGGUCCACCCAAGGGUUGGCAUGAUACUUUUAUAUGAAAUGUGACCCAUACUAUGAAAACUGAUAAUUAAGGAGGAUAAACUUUUAACAAUUUAUGAAGCAGAAAGUUGUGUAUCAUUAACUUAUGUAUGAAAACUAGGAUGAUCAAAUUGGAUUCCAACAUGCUCACAUGAUUAUAUAUCCUCUUUUCAUUCAUCAAGCAAGCCUCUCGCAAAUUCCCAUUAAAGCCUGAAUGUGAAAACUCCAUGUAUUCUUAGGAUGGAAAGAACAUGUAAAAAUAACAGCUAACUAAGGAUUCUAAUAAAAUAAUCAAGGCUGAUAGGAUGGAAAGAACAUGUAAAAAUAGCUAACUAAGGAUUCUAAUAAAAAUAAUCAAGGCAGAUAAAAAGGUUCAGUUUCUUGAAAACAUGAACUUUGAAAUUUUUUAGCAAUUAAAGCAAAGAAAAGAAUGAUUCAAUAAUGAGACAAACCUCCAAACAAUAGAUUCAUGACCAUGGCCGUGAAAGUGAGAUGAUGGAGUUUGAUGCAUUAAGACCUUGAUAUCCAUAUAUAGCAGACUCAAGUACAUUGUAUUGUUCAAUUACAGAACCAUACAAUGCCCAAACAAAAGCCUUCUUAGCCUGCAAAACAAAUCUUUAAACGUGGAAUCCAACAUAAAAAAUAAAGAUCAAUAGAUUGCUUAUUUUCGAUUGAGAAAUUGCAUUCAUACAAAGGACUAUUACUUUAUUCUUCUUUAAAGAGAUAUUAGUGUUCACAGAUGAUAACAAGUAUCUCGAAUAGGAAGGAUCAUAUACAUUCUUUUAGCAUGUAUACAUGAGAAUAUUGCUAUAUGAGAAUAGAUGGGAUGAUGCAAAAAACUCUCAGGAGGACAAGAAACUUGGGCACAGCAUUAAAUGUAUAUUUGACUACCAUGAAAAUCUUCAUAUGCACUAAAAACUACUUGGGAAUUAAUUUAUAGAUCCUAUUCUGCCAUCUAGCUAAAUCAAGUAUGAACCUUUUCUUCAUCAGAAGGCAAAGAUCUUUAUUGAAUUUGUAUAUUCUUUGGUCUUACUCCUCUUUUAUGGUGUUUUAUCUUCCGCUCAACCUCAAGAAACUUGUAUUGGACUAACUUCUUUCCACAUGCCACAAAUACCUCAAAAGUGGCCAGUCUGGAAACAUCAUUAUAACCAUGAAUUUAAAUAAGAGUCAAUACCAAUCAUAUUAAACCAGUCCAAAGCAAAACCACUAAGAGGUGUGCUGCCAGCACUGCCAUAAAGAGAAACUUCAAAUUCUUUUUUUCUGUAGCAGAAUAUAUUAAAUUAUACCAUGUCAGAUGGAUAAUCCUUUUAAGAGCCAGCAUCAGUAAACUUAAUUCAGACAAUAUAGCCUCAUCUCCCAAGUAUUCAGAAAUUAUUUCUAGCAUCCUUUUCCUGCCUUAUAGUUCUAUAAAGUAUGAAAGUAUAGAGUCAAUCGCAACAGGUCCUUUAUCAUGCUUGGAAUCUUUUAUGAUAUUCCUCACACCCACAGGAAACAGGAUUAUCUUGAAUAAACUUCUUUCCAAAAGUCAAAAUCAGUACCACCUUAAAUGUGAUCUCCAAAUGCCUGGAAUUCUAUUUUUUAACCCCAGAGAGGUCCAAUAGAAGGAAAUGAGCACAGAAGACCAUGGGAGUUGGAUAAAUUGUGCAGUAGAAAGAAAUACGCACAGAAGUAUGAGAGUUGGAUUAAUUGCGCCAAUAGAUUAAUUUCCGAAAAGGAAUCACAAAUUUGUACCAACGAAGACUUGGUAUGAUGUGCAAAUUCUUUUUUAGGAUAUCCUAUGUUUGCAAGAUAUCGCUACUAGCAUGUGUUGUAUUAUCCUAUCAGAAUGCGUUUCUCUCCUGUGGUUAGCCAUCUUUAGAAACUUCAACUAAUUAUAGUAAGUUUCAUAUAGAAUUUUAAUUGUCUGAAGUAAAUUAUAACACUACACACCAUCUGAAGUUCAGAAAAACCCAGAUUCUAUUCCUCUGUGAUGCCUCUUUUGUGAAAGCAGGAAGAUCCAGGUACCUGAGUUCAAAUCUUCUCAACUUUCAUUACAACAUGGUGUACCCAACUCUCCUCUUCUCAACUAAUGUGUUCAACUUGAAAAUUGCAUCCUUAAUAUAUGAGGCUGGAUAUGGCCAAUGUGUAUCCACCAUCUUGCUUGUCACGUGGUCUUUACUAACAGAUAAGGCAAAAAGCCUGACAAGUCUGGUUGACAGUAGAAUUGAUCUACUUGUAAAAUUAACAAAAUAACCAUGAUACAAUCCCAAGCACCUACACAUGCUUCUUUAUGACCAUUUGAGUUACCACCGAUUGUAGUAAUUUCUUCAGAUACACUUUAUAUUUCUUAGUUCACCUUCUUCAAGACUUUCUCUUGAUCCACCUCAAAGCAAAUUGUCGCGCAUGAAGAAUAAUUAUGUCCAUACUUGCUUCCAAGAAUCAUGGGCUUAGUUUUAUUGUUUUACACCCGAGAGCCUUUUUCCUGGACAAUCUAAAUAAGGCAAUCACCAAUUGUAAAAGAGAAAUCUAGCUUUGUGAUUCGCUUCUACAAAUUAAUAUAUUUCUCACCAAAUAUUAUCAUUAAGGGCAUCAAUGAUUUAAUCAGACACAAGCAUAUCAACACAGAUAAUAAAAAAUAUAAAAUUACAUAACAUGUGUCUCUUAAAAUGUGGAUGGUUAAAUUAAAUGUCAAUAACUGACCUCUUCAGCGUUCUCACAACCACUAGCAAUGUCAUCAAAGUUUAUUUCUGGAGCCACAGAUAACCCAAUUCCAUGAAAAGAAAAUUUUCUUCUCUCACCAAUUUGCUUUUCUACCUUUGGAAAAUAUUCAUAUAAAAACAUAAUACAAUGUACCAAUCCUAGACUGCAACAAUUAGGUAAAGCAUACCUCUGGUGGUGGAGGCAUGACGUCAUAACACAGCAAUGCUAGGGGAUACAUAUGCCCCAUUACACCAGAAUGGUCCACAAGUCUCCUCAUAUUGUCCACUGAAGAUUCAUCAAAUGAUGCCUGUACUCCUUACUGUCAGCACAAAUAGUGUAAUGAUAAUGAAGUGAAAAAACAAUCAGUUGUGAAGGAGAAUGGUCCUCCAAAGUAUCUCAUAAAUUGAGAAUCAUUUUAAAUCUCUGGUAUAGACCAAAAGAAAAUGCUAAAACAAAAAAUGCUUUGGUUAACCCAUGAUUUAAAGUUUCUGGUAUACCAAUCUGUACGGACUGGUAUUCACUGGUCCAACAGCCGACCAAUGCACACACCAGGCAAUUUCAUCCGGUCCGGUCCAAACCGAGUUUAUCAUUUGAUAAGCUCACCAUGCUGGAGUUACUGGGUAGUAGGUCGACCAGUACUAAUGUGACCAGUAAAUCUCUGUUUAUUGUUUUCUCCUAUUUUUAUAAGCUGUUGACAGCUACAUUAUCUGUUUUUUAUGUUUUUCUCCUUUUUUUUCUCUCUUCUCCACUGCCUCCUAUCUGUAACUCUGACUCUGCUUGUCCAGUUGGUACCAAUUAAUACCGUCCAUAACAACAAUUGGUAAACUAUAUGGUCCUAUCAUAGAACCAAUCAAUCUCCCAUCAUUCAGUAGUAGACUGAGAUUUUAAUCCUUGGAUUAAUCCUUUUCUGAAGUCAUAAAUCUUUUUUUUUGUUACAAGAAUCCCUUUUCACUUUGAUCAUGCACUCGAUGAGGAUUUACAAUAUUCAAACUUCUUUCAAGUAACUUUUCAGUCAAAUUCACCAAAUAUAACACAAUUUCCACCAGAUACUUGACCCAAGAUCUGAUUGCAACAUAGCAGGCUGGCACAGGGACAUAUAACUUGGAACUCUAUGUUGUUAUUAAAAUCCAAUUGAAACAAAAUGUUCCAGCAGAAAUGUCUGCAAUUAAAAUCUUCAGCUACCAUAAAUUAAAAAAAGCUGCAUUG